CGUUCGUGGUUGCAGGAGUGAGGCCAGGGAGAGGUUGGCGUCGCAGACUUCGGAAUAGAGCAGCCUAGAAGAUGAACUCUUCGGAAGAAAAGAGACUUUCCGAGGAAAACAAACCCACACCCUUCCAUUACCUGCAUGGCCGGGCCCGGCAGCCUCGCCGGAAGUGCUGCGGCCAGAAUUACAGCCGUCACACACCCUCUGUCCCCGGGGCAGGUAAGGACUCUGCACUGGAGUCCGAUGGGCUCGGGCGCCCUCCCAGACCGAGGCCGGAAGGUCUUCUGGUGUCCCCAGCGCCCGAAGGUUUUCAUGCACGUUUCUUCUCCCUGGUGGCAGCUCAGAGGGGCAGUGCUUGAAGUUCCCAUCAAUAGGAUUCAGAAAUGGAAAUCUGUAUUUUCCAUGGUCACUGGUACCCAGGAAGUAUUUGGACUUCCUCCCACCACAGUCCCCUUUGCCCACUACACCUAACCAAAGACCUAAUUUCUGGUACUACAGUGGCCAUGGGGAAAAAAUGAGCACGAAAGGGCCUCAGACUAAACUUCAGCAGUUGUGGCACAAUAAGAUUUCACAGAGUUCCUGUGAAAGUAGGAGUGUGGUAUGUAACCCUCAUGGGGGUGAAGACCCUUCCCUGGAGAAAAUGUGUGAAGAAGAAGGAGAGAUGGACAGCUGCCCUCAGGGGCACAUGCCCGGUGCUGCCCCGUUGGCCCACUCUAACAAAGUCGAUGUAGCCAUUCAGUGUGACAUGAGCUGGCUGGAGGAUGCAGAGCUGGAGAGAUCCCCUGCGUCAUCACCAGGAGGGAGAAAGGGAACAGCGGAAGAGUCAGUGCUGUGUGGCAUCCUGGGUAGAAAGGAGGUAGGAGAGCAGGACAGCAGGCCCUCCACUGCCCAGUUGACCCAGUCUAACAAAAUCAAUGAAUCCAUCCAUUGUGAAAUAGGUUGGGUGGAAGAUGCAGAGCUGGAGAACUCCCCUGAGCAAAUGCCCUUGAUAGGUGAAGAGUCACCGAACUGCACAACAGCGGGACCGAGGAAGAUGCCCAGGAGCAGGAAAUUACAUGAGGCCAGGACUGCGUUCUUAAAAGGAAAGAAUGACACUGCGACCUUGACCAAAGAAAUUACUUCUUUGAACAUUUCAGAUGAGUGUGAGUUGGAAGAUGAAGCGUGUGAGAUAGAAUGGGUCUUUGUAGAAGAAGUUAGUGGUCCCAGUUCUAAAGAAAGGUUUGAUCAGGAAGAAUCCUGGGGAAGCUAUUUGUAUUCUCUACUUGUCUGGCCCUGGAGCAGUAAUAUCAACGAGAAGAAUGCUGAGUGUGAGGGCACCUCUAUGACCCCGUUAUCCUUACCAAAAAAGAGGACUGUGAAAUAUAUGACAACAAGUCUCUGACAGAACAUAGCAUCACCCAGGAGGCAUUGGACUCCAUGACAUUGUCUCAGGAGUAAAUAUAAGCGACUAAUGGGCUCAGCCUCCUUAGUUGUCUAGUGGUUUCCUUUUGGGUCCUGGGUCCAAAGGCAGCAGGAUCAAUGAGAAUUCUCCAUUUUAAAAUCGAGUUUUCACUUAAGCUCUAGGUGCCCAUAUUUGUAGAAUUUGCAAAGAAGAUCCCAAGUUAGAGGUGAGACAGAGUCAUAGCAGAUGAUGGCUGGGAGGUAAUGGUAAUGGAGAGCUGGGUUGAGUAGUCAGGACAGGGGGCUGUAGAUUUAACUCUGCUGUUGGGCAAAUGAAAAUUGUCACCAUUCUAACUGGGUAACAGGCAUAUCUAUAGACACUAGGUUGCAGAAUGUAUUGGAGCCAAAGAUAUUCUCUUCUGUGGAAUGUUAUUUUUAUGGUGUUUCACAUUUAAUUCCUGAUGUUGCUAAUGAUAGUAAGUUGUGGUUUAUAUGGGAUUAUUAUUAUUAUUUUGUUAAGAGAGUGAAAGGGACAGGGAGAGAUAGGGAGGGAGGAACAUCGAUGUGAGAGAGAGGGACACACAUUGAUUGGUUGCCUCCCAACUGGCUGGGGAUCAAGCCUACAACCGAGGUACAUAACCUUGAUCAGAAUUGAACCCGUGACCCUUCAGGCCUCGGGCCGGCACUCUAUUAAGUGUCCCAGUUUAGAGCCGGGUACUGGAAGUUUAGUAUCUUCCUUUACACUGAGCCUUGAUAUUGAGUAUCCCUGCCAUUCCUCCAGCACCUAGUCCUGGGAUGUCAGGGUUCAGUUGCUUUACAGCCAUCUAAAGGACAUCCUGCCCGCAGUGGCAUAAAGGAAAGACUGAUAACUAAGCACAGGCAAAAUGUCAAGAGCCUUGGUUUUAUCUGAAAGGUAGAAAGGAAAAAUGGGUAAUGAUUCUCUGUAUUCCUCUUUUUUUGGUUAAUCCUCAUCUGAGAAUAUUUUUCGAUUGAUUUUUAGAGAGAGU
RNA transcript from Myotis myotis, 2381 nucleotides. RefSeq lists it as uncharacterized. The record is from RefSeq and is a predicted model, not a curated record. Lineage: Eukaryota; Metazoa; Chordata; Mammalia; Chiroptera; Vespertilionidae. The transcript has 3 exons.